AGUUGUAUCCUGGCUCAGAACGAACGCUGGCGGCAGGCCUAACACAUGCAAGUCGAGCGCACUCUUCGGAGUGAGCGGCGGACGGGUUAGUAACGCGUGGGAAUAUGCCCUUCUCUAAGGAAUAGCCACUGGAAACGGUGAGUAAUACCUUAUACGCCCUUCGGGGGAAAGAUUUAUCGGAGAAGGAUUAGCCCGCGUAAGAUUAGAUAGUUGGUGGGGUAAUGGCCUACCAAGUCUACGAUCUUUAGCUGGUUUUAGAGGAUGAUCAGCAACACUGGGACUGAGACACGGCCCAGACUCCUACGGGAGGCAGCAGUGGGGAAUCUUGGACAAUGGGCGCAAGCCUGAUCCAGCCAUGCCGCGUGAGUGAUGAAGGCCUUAGGGUCGUAAAGCUCUUUCGCCAGAGAUGAUAAUGACAGUAUCUGGUAAAGAAACCCCGGCUAACUCCGUGCCAGCAGCCGCGGUAAUACGGAGGGGGUUAGCGUUGUUCGGAAUUACUGGGCGUAAAGCGCACGUAGGCGGAUCAGAAAGUAAGGGGUGAAAUCCCAGGGCUCAACCCUGGAACUGCCUCUUAAACUCCUGGUCUUGAGUUCGAGAGAGGUGAGUGGAAUUCCGAGUGUAGAGGUGAAAUUCGUAGAUAUUCGGAGGAACACCAGUGGCGAAGGCGGCUCACUGGCUCGAUACUGACGCUGAGGUGCGAAAGUGUGGGGAGCAAACAGGAUUAGAUACCCUGGUAGUCCACACCGUAAACGAUGAAUGCCAGUCGUCGGGUAGCAUGCUAUUCGGUGACACACCUAACGGAAUUAAGCAUUCCGCCUGGGGAGUACGGUCGCAAGAUNAAACUCAAAGGAAUUGACGGGGG
This 862-nucleotide ribosomal RNA is filed under the name uncultured Roseobacter sp. Its description in RNAcentral is "bacterial SSU rRNA". It matches the Rfam family "Bacterial small subunit ribosomal RNA", at positions 10 to 919 of the family's 1533-position model. Lineage: Bacteria; Pseudomonadati; Pseudomonadota; Alphaproteobacteria; Rhodobacterales; Roseobacteraceae. The record is from RNAcentral.